This 500-nucleotide ribosomal RNA is filed under the name uncultured bacterium. RNAcentral's name for it is "bacterial SSU rRNA". It matches the Rfam family "Bacterial small subunit ribosomal RNA", at positions 12 to 507 of the family's 1533-position model. The record is from RNAcentral.
UUUGAUCAUGGCGUACAGGACGAACGGCUGGCGCGUGCUUAACACAUGCAAGUCGAACGGAGUGCCCAUGACAGAGGUUUCGGCCAAUAGAUUGGGUACUUAGUGGCGGACUGGUGAGUAACGCGUGAAGAACCUGCCUUUCAGUGGGGGACAACAGUUGGAAACGACUGCUAAUACCGCAUGACACUUUUUGGGGGCAUCCCCCGAGAAGUCAAAGCUUUAUGUGCUGAAAGAUGGCUUCGCGUCUGAUUAGCUAGAUGCGGGGUAACGGCCCACCAUGGCGACGAUCAGUAGCCGGUCUGAGAGGAUGAACGGCCACAUUGGGACUGAGAUACGGCCCAGACUCCUACGGGAGGCAGCAGUGGGGAAUAUUGGGCAAUGGGGGAAACCCUGACCCAGCAACGCCGCGUGAAGGAAGAAGGCCUUCGGGUUGUAAACUUCUUUUACCAGGGACGAAGGAUGUGACGGUACCUGGAGAAAAAGCAACGGCUAACUACGUG